RNAcentral lists this transfer-messenger RNA (391 nucleotides) under Anaerolineales. RNAcentral describes it as "UBA11657 sp002296125 Standard tmRNA". It matches the Rfam family "transfer-messenger RNA". Rfam says of the family: Bacterial tmRNA, also known as 10Sa RNA or SsrA, is named for its dual tRNA and mRNA-like properties. Its role is to liberate the mRNA from a stalled ribosome. RNAcentral also lists the same sequence under 1 other name. The record is from RNAcentral. Lineage: Bacteria; Bacillati; Chloroflexota; Anaerolineae.
GGGGAUGACAGGCUUCGACGGAGGAGGCUGUUGUUGAACUGCGAGCCGAGAGGCGCCGAACUCGAUAAAUCAGCGCAACAAUAUAACAGGCAAAAAUAAAGCCUAUAACGCUCUUCCGCUAGCUGCAUAAACACAGUUAACCUAAGAGUAGAUUUUCCUUAAUGAAAAUCCGUCCUCUUCAAUCGACAUCAGCCGAAAGAAGCUUGGGCGUCACUUAUGCUGAUGUGCCGCACACGAUGCCGCUAAAUGUGCGAAAGAACAAGCGACUUUAUCGGUUACUUACCCUGUUGAUCGGGGAUUUUCCGAUGAAAAUCAAAUAGACCAACUACGCUCGUAGAUGUUUAGCAAUCAAUCCUUUCGGACCCGAGUUCGAUUCUCGGCAUCUCCACCA